UUCCAUUCCCGCGGCCCCCAAAAUCCCCAAUCUCUUAGAACCCUAAUCGUCUCCUCACUCUCUCAGUCUCAUCUCAAGUUCAACUCAUCACUGUCUCUCUCCCUCACUCUCUCAUUUCGUUGUUCUUUAUAUCUGCACCGAUCACUCUCUGACUCUCUCGUUGUUCAUCUCAUCGCACCGCCGAUCUACUCACAGUCUCACACUCUGGUUUUGCAUCUCUGCACCGAUCAACUCACAGGUGUCAAAUAGCAGUCCAUCAAGAGUGCUAUGGAGUAAACAAUGUUCAGGAUUUUACAUCAUGGGUUUGCAGAGCAUGCGAAACUCCUAAUGUUGAGAAGGAGUGUUGUCUCUGCCCUGUUAAAGGCAUUCCCAUUGAUAUCCUUAUUUAUGCAUUAAAUACCCAGUUUCAUUUUCUGUUUUUUGAUUCUUAUAGAUUUGAAUGCUGCUUCUGCAAGGGGAGCUUUGAAGCCAACUGAUGUUGACUCCCUGUGGGUCCAUGUCACAUGUGCUUGGUUCUGGCCUGAAGUUGCUUUUGUAGAUGCUGAGAAGAUGGAGCCUGCAGUUGGACUUCUUAGAAUUCCAUCACAUUCUUUUGUAAAGGUAUGAGUCUUAUUUAAAAUCAUUGUAGAAAUGGUGUUUCUAACUGACAUAGUGAC
Camellia sinensis is the source of this 656-nucleotide non-coding RNA. The record is from RefSeq and is a predicted model, not a curated record. NCBI's taxonomy places the organism in Eukaryota, Viridiplantae, Streptophyta, Magnoliopsida, Ericales, Theaceae.